RNAcentral lists this long non-coding RNA (222 nucleotides) under Canis lupus dingo (dingo). RNAcentral's name for it is "lncRNA (ENSCAFG00020010926.1)". Lineage: Eukaryota; Metazoa; Chordata; Mammalia; Carnivora; Canidae. The record is from RNAcentral.
AGUGAGCCAGCUCUCCAGAUGUUUGGAGCACUGGAAAUUGCUUCUCUAGUGGUGAAGAUAUGGAGCCCAGCUGCCAGGGGAAACAGCCACUUCCUAAUGUAACUGCUCAGAAAUGCUGGAGGAGAAAAUGAGGACCCCUGAAGAACAGACCAUUAAGUUCUACUGGCUAUUUACAACUCUUAUAGCUGGGGUGUUGGAUUGUGCUUUGAAGGUAGGUUUUAU